UGGGGAAUCUUGGACAAUGGGGGAAACCCUGAUCCAGCCAUGCCGCGUGAGUGAUGAAGGCCCUAGGGUUGUAAAACUCUUUCGGCGGGGACGAUAAUGACGGUACCCGCAGAAGAAGCUCCGGCUAACUUCGUGCCAGCAGCCGCGGUAAUACGAAGGGGGCUAGCGUUGUUCGGAAUUACUGGGCGUAAAGCGCGCGCAGGCGGUUCUUCAAGUCAGAGGUGAAAGCCCAGAGCUCAACUCUGGAAUGGCCUUUGAGACUAGAGAACUAGGGUACGGGAGAGGUGAGUGGAAUUCCGAGUGUAGAGGUGAAAUUCGUAGAUAUUCGGAAGAACACCAGUGGCGAAGGCGGCUCACUGGCCCGUUACCGACGCUCAGGCGCGACAGCGUGGGGAGCAAACAGG
Molecule: ribosomal RNA, 404 nt
Filed under: uncultured bacterium
Lineage: Bacteria
Description: bacterial SSU rRNA
Rfam family: Bacterial small subunit ribosomal RNA
Source: RNAcentral